This 247-nucleotide unclassified non-coding RNA is filed under the name Hevea brasiliensis (rubber tree). Lineage: Eukaryota; Viridiplantae; Streptophyta; Magnoliopsida; Malpighiales; Euphorbiaceae. The record is from RNAcentral.
GCUCGGGUUGGUUGGUUGGCUUAUAUGGAUACGUCGGAAACGAGGCUAUGACCAAAGCGUCAACCCCUACCUUGGGUGGUUCAGUGGAAUAAUUAGAAUCCAUAUCUGGUGCAAUUUGCCUGGUUUGGCGAUAAAGGGCGGCACGUUGUCUCCUUUCUCGGCGGAUCAGGAGAUACCUAGAGUAAAGAUGGAGAAGAACUAUGAGCACCACCACUGCAAAUAAAGAAAAGAUCGCCGCGACCAUGAU